This 98-nucleotide signal recognition particle RNA is filed under the name Mariprofundaceae bacterium. Its description in RNAcentral is "signal recognition particle sRNA small type". It matches the Rfam family "Bacterial small signal recognition particle RNA". Rfam says of the family: The signal recognition particle (SRP) is a universally conserved ribonucleoprotein involved in the co-translational targeting of proteins to membranes. Archaeal SRP consists of a 7S RNA and homologues of the eukaryotic SRP19 and SRP54 proteins. Lineage: Bacteria; Pseudomonadati; Pseudomonadota; Candidatius Mariprofundia; Mariprofundales; Mariprofundaceae. The record is from RNAcentral.
GGCUGGGCCCCGCACGGUGAAGCCCUGUGAACCCCGUCAGGUCCGGAAGGAAGCAGCGGCAGCAGGAGCUUUGCGCGUUGCGGAUUCGUCCGGUCCGG